GACCCAGAAGUGGAGCAUUGCAGAGGUAAGAGCAUGGGCAGGAGAAAAUCAGUAAGAUGUUUCCUGUAAAAGCCUUUUGCCAGACAAGAGGAAUCAUUACCACGAUGAUACUUCUAAUUAUAAUGUCAUUAGGGCACCACUGCAGGUUCCUAUGGCGCAUGAAGUUUUUCAGCAUCUUGAUCCAAAAUGGGCAAAAUGUAGGCAUUAACCCUUUCACUGGAAGUAGACUUGAAUAUCUAGGCAAGCUGAAAGAACACAACUUAUUUUGAAGUUAAGUCAUAGUAUUGCUGAGAGUUCUGGAAAAUUUAGCAGUUGUAAAGAAUACUGAAGAGUAAUUCCCCUGAUCCUUCUGCAUUCAUGCCAGAUGUCACAGAUGGACAAUUGAUGAUAUGUGUUUCUCAAGACACCAAAAAGGUAAAGAUAAUGUACUUUGUUGCUGAUCUAAUUUUUGUCUGACUGGAAAACAGGACGCGAAGUUUCUGGCACAAAGUUGUUGCCCAAACCUUUGAAGAAUAGCCAAGAGCAGAUAACAAACAGGCCUACAGACAAUAUUGCUCAAAGUCACAUUCAACUCCUUAAGCAGCUGUUCAAUCUGUGAAGUGAAAAAUUCUUCUAUUUUUGUGUAAUUUUCAAACUGCUGAUGAUACUAUAACAUAUUCUCUCGGCUUUUCUCUUUGUUUAGGCAGCCUGGAUUUAUACCUUCAAAUCUUGGCUCUAGGAUGGUUCCAAAAGCACAAUCAUGCAUGCAGAUACCACCAAACGUGUCAAAAAUGUUAUGCUAUUAAAUGCUAUGAUAAAACCUUCUACUUAGUGCUACAGUGCUUCUAGAAUUUGUCUUACAGGUCCAAGUUGAUCUUGCCUGUAACUGACCUGUAAAGGAACAUUUCCUGGCUUUGCACAGUGCUGACACUGUGUUCGUGUUGCUCUGGACUGAGUCUAGCUCCUGGUUUGCUCUUCAGGAGUCAGACAGUUAAACCACAAGCCAACUCUGCCACUCUGGAACAAAAUAACAUCCUCUUCAGUGUUUCAGGAUUUACAGAAUGUUAAAUGGGCACAGCGUUCCCCCAGAAUCCCAACCCAGUAGGGUGUUCCCAGGCAGGGGCUACUCCAAGCUUAGGCGUGCAUAGGAGAUCCCAGAUUAGAAGCCUACUGCCAGAGAUACCUUGAGGAAGGGGAUUUUGAGCACUGCGUUAUGCCUUAUGCAGACAGCGUGAAUGAUGGGAUGUCCAGUUUUCCAAUGGACAAAAUUGCACAGGGCAGGUUGAUCAGAGUAACAGAUACCAUGACAACCAAAUAUGUUCAAAGCAAAAGGACAAAAGACAAGAGAGGAAUUUUAAAGGGGGAGGAGGCAGCAAUAACAUUAUUAAUAUAUCCCUGUGUUCUGAAGGAGUGGCUUUUUUUGUGAAACUCAGCAAGUUGUGACCCUGAGCAGUGCCACUGCCGUAGCGCAAUCUGCGUGGUACAAAGUUGGGAUGUGGCAUGAAGAUUUUGUGAAUUCCAGAAGCUCCUCUUUGAUGACUAAGUAGUUAUUAGCUCUUUGAGACUGAGUACCAUUUGGGUAAUUGGCAAGUGGACUGUGACCUGAAGGACUGAUAAACUGGAGGGAAAUCAUUCAAAAUUCUUUUCAGUUUUCCUCCAUACUGCUUUUGUUUCAUGUUCAGACAACUCAAUCUAAAACAUGAAACGUUAUUUUCAGAAGAGCAAUCAUAAUUGGCAUAAUUUGAAGAAAAAAAAAACUAGUAGCACUUGCUAAUAUGGGCAGAAUUCAAUUAAUAAAACACCACAUACUGUGGCUGGUUUGUUUCUAAAAUACACUUAUGUAAUUUAAAAGACAAAUGUGUUGUCUGUGGUGGUCAUUAUUUUAAAGACAGCAGGGUUUAUCCCUUACAUCCCAUUUUUUAAUCUGUGGUUUUAUUGACACUUUGAAAGCUAACAGCCUAGCAGGUUGUUCCUAGGUAGGAAUUCUACCCAAAAGAACAGUUUGUAGAACUGUACUCAUUUAACUGACAUUACAAAGUUGUCCUGCACAUGCAAAAAAAGAACUUUUCACAUGAUGUGAGAAAGACUCUACACCUGUGAUAACGAAGAACACUUCCCAUUAGCAAUGUAAGUAUGUAGAUUUGUCGUUACUUAUUCAGAAAUCAGCCUGCAGGCCCAAGAUGACCUGCUCUUCACCUCACCAAUCCCGCUCCUGCUGCAUCUCACAUGAGGUAGGUGCACUUCUAUUUCAACCCUAAAAGUGGGACUGUUCAUCUUUCUGAAUCAGCUACAUGGGCUGAGUCCUUCUCUUCCACUGCACCAAAUCCUUGCAGGGACGUGUUUUCAGGUGAGCUUUAUUAUUCAGUGUGCACCUUUAUAAGGUUCUGGAAGGCAAAGCUCUCAGGCCACCUUACUCGUUUUUGCAUAGUACCAAAGAGUGUUUUUUGAAAGCCUUUUAGGAUCAGCUUUUUUCUUGGAGUGGUGUCAAUCAUCAAGAAUUUUUAAAUAUUUUACCUAACCAACUACUACUUAUUCCUUUUGAAAGAAAAGCAAAUGAUUACAUGCAGCCCUGGCCAUUUUGCACUCACAUAUCCCUACCUUAUCUCUGCUCCAUAAAGCACCCAGAAGAUGUGUGUGGGCUCCGGUCUGCUCCUCACUUUCACUGCCCACUGAGGGACUUCAAGCAUGAAAGAGCUGUCCUGGUGCACACCCACCUCCGGACAUGGAGAGGAAAUCCCAAGUGAGUACUUUAGGAUAAGUACCCUGAGAUGGUCUUUGGUUGGCUUUGGUUUUCAUACAUUUGUGACAUGAAAUCACCUAAAAACGUAACUUUGCAGUUUAGAUAGAUCUUUGAUGGAAAAAAUGUUUCAGUUAACCUCAUGUAUAAUAAUGGGUAAUUACCUCAGUUCAUAUCUCCUGGAAAUCCCUUUUUAAUACUUUUUUUAUUAUUAUUAUUGUUUUGGGCUACAAAGCAAUUUGCAUGAUGUUUUUUCUCCUUCCCUAGCUAUCUCUCCCUCUCACCACUGCUCACCUUUAUAAACUGAUUUCUGCCUUCUUCCUGGGCUACAAAAUGACAGCGCUUACUAUCUGUCCAGUCGUCUGUUCCUGUUUAGCCAGUAAGUGGAACAUUUCCUAUGACUUUCUUCAGAUAAUGAUCCUCUUUUUCCACAUCUAGGGGGCCUCUAUUGUAUAUAAUCUCUGCAAGAUAAGAGCUUAAUAAAUAACUCUUUUUUAUAGUAUUUUUUUUUUAAUUCUGUACGUCUAGAACACCUGCUCUGCUGCUGCUUGUAGAUUUUUAGGUAAUUUGACUUUAAUUUUUAUAUAAAGAAGAGAUAUGAAACUUCCUCCUGACAUAAUUAGAAAACUAAAAUGUAAGUUUGCUCGCUGAAAACUAUAUCUUGGAGUUCUUUUGCAAUACAAGUUAAUUAACUGGAUUUAGAUAUUUGCAAGACGAUAUAUUUAAUGGGAUUACUGCUCAUAUAAUGUUCUCAGUGACUGAUUUGGAAUCUAAGCUCAGGGAACAGAAUACCGAAUUUCCAGCUCUUUGAGAGUUAAUGUUGUGUUAAGGAAAAGUACAAUUUGAACCUCAUUGUUCAUGAAUAGCGAAGUUAUUCCGGUGAAAUGGAGCCGGUGCCUACAAGGGCUACACGAGGCAGAUGCAUGAGCGGGAGCGCAGACAGCGUCAUUCCUGCGAGUGCUCGGCUACAGAUAUCCCCGCACCUGAACUCCUGGCAAGUUCAAGGCAAUUGCGUAUCUCAUCACAACAUAAUGGCCCUUUAUUCAGCCCCCGUCUCCCAAGUGGGAUCAAUUAGAUGCUUUGGUCUGCAGGCUUGAGAAUAAACAUUUGUGUUUUCGUUUAUAUUUAGAGUGAAAAUGAAGACGCGUGGCCACAGCCGUUCUGCCCGCAUCCGUCGUGUUUUGAAACAAAGGUUUAAUCAGCUCUUUCAAAAUAUUGAUUGCCUUUUUAAUAGGAAAAGGUAGAAAGUUAAAUGACAGCAAGCUCUGGGGAAAAAUGCAAUAGCCCUGCACAGAACAUUUCAGUGCGCCAAUAAAUCUCGCAUUAGCGUCUAUCUUCUCAUUAAGGCAAAUAUAUUUCUAUGUGUCAAUUUGGUUCACUACAAUGUUAGAGUUUCACUCCUAACACAGGAUUUCUCUAAUGAAUAUGGUAAUUUAAAUCUUAUGAUCAGAGUACUACUUUUAUAGAAAUUUGAACAUUUUUUGUUUAAAUGCUAUUAACCGUUUCAAUAUUAGCUCAGUCAAAUAGCUAUUAGAUGGGGAAAUUUAUAUUCUCACUAUAAGGAAUGGAUGUGUAAUUCUACAGUGCUUCUACAUUCUAACACUUUUUUAAAGUACUUGACAAGUAGAAUGGUGAUUCGUGUUUAACGUGUUCGAUUUUAAAAUUUAACCAGCAUUCCAAAGCUCUGGUGAGUUCAAAUGCCUUAACAUUUUUAUUUAUGAUUGUAAUUUUAUUUUUAAGCAUUGAUAAAGUGAAGUCUUAAAAAUCUAACUGGAUAAGAACAUUUAGAUGACAGUGGUUCACCAGGACACAAGUGGGAAAGGGAAAGAAAAUCCCAUGGAGAGAAGGAAACUCUUAUAUACCUGCAUGCAUCUUCCUAAGAUAUGACACAAAAUACUACUGAAGUGAUACUUGCCUUGUUUUGAUCUUGAUUUGGGGGGGAGGUUGUUUGGUUUUGAAUGACCUGUCAAACUGAGAGUUGUGCCAAGGCAACCUUGGCAUCUGAUGUUUUACAUGGCUGCUACGUUACAAGUAUUCCAUUCCAAGUAUUUUAGUCCUUGAAUAAAUUGCUCUUAUUAAGCUAAUUUUGGAUCCAUUCUGUUUAUGAAUGCAUAAAAAUAUUCCUGACUGUUUUCCAGGCUUUUCAAGACAACUAUGAGAUGUACCCUAUGAUGUGAGCAAUCACUAAACAGACUACAACAGAUUAAUAGUUCACAGAAACCUCUUAAAACAUCCUAAGCUCAUAAAUUUGUAAAGAGUUUGUGAUCUUGAGUUAUUAUAUUCUAUGAUUUUCCAUCAAAGGAAUUUGAAUCGUGCCUUUAUAUUCCUGUCCUGUAGCAAAAUAUGCUUGUUUCCAGCCAGGGCUUUCACUGAUGUAAACCCAGAUACUGGUGUUCCUGGAUUGAACAGCAAUGCAACCCUACGAGGGGGAAUUCCAUAGCUGAGAGAGAGCUUUUUUUUCUCAGUAUGUGUCAUGGAAAAGAAAAACACGAUCAUUUAACAACUUUCUUCCAAGCAUGAGCGCGUCUUUGAGCUUACAAAGUCAGGUUUUUGUGAUGAAGAGCUUUCAUUCAUAGGUAUUUCUUUAAAAAAAAAAAAAUACAACCAAUUGUGGAACUAGCAAGAUGAUGGUUAUGAGUGCACAGCAAUAUCCCAUGUCCAGGAACUGCAUCUGCAGCAUCAGAGUGCAGGAUGAAGAGCAUUUCAGGAAGGUAGGAUUCAAUGAACCCACGGCAGUUUGUCAGGAACUCUACAACAAGUAGUCCCAGUGCUUUUCUUUCAUAUUGAAUACAUGGAAUUAGUGCUCUUAGUGCACACAGAGAGCAGGAAGAUAACAAACUACUGCUUGGACAAAGCAGAUUUGACCUACAUAUAGGAGUGGACGCAGCCAAGGGUGGAGCUUCUGAUUGAAUGGUGUUAGCAUCAGUUGUGGUUGGGAAUUUUGCAAACAGUUACAACAGCAGUGAAGAACUUAUUACAAAUAAGUCCCGUAAGUCUGGAUAUUCUGCUGUUCACGAGGAAUAUAAAAUGAGUGCAGACUGGUGGAACUUAGAUGAAACCAUGCCUAAGACAUAAGAACACACCGUCUGUCAGAACGGAAGUACUUUACAAGUCAAGCGUUGCCAGCCAGAACAUCUGAAAAUGUUUUGACAGUAUCAGAAUGUAUCUUUUGGAAUGAACUGAUAAUGCUGUUUUGUCUUCCAAUCCAACUUUUUUUUUCUCUCAGCUUUCUGUUUUACUGAAAGAAUAAGUGGAACUGAAGCUAAGGGUGGCAGAACAUGUGUGUAAAUUAGAUUAAUUUUUCUCCUAGUUGCAGAAAGCAGAAUAGUUUCUAGUUUAUCUUGACAGAUGCAUUUCACAACUAUCUUCUAUCUUAUGCCUUCAAUCCAGAGAGAGGUGAGAAAAAUACAGUGCUGUCCUAUUGAAAAGGCAAUAUCUAAAACUACUCAGCAGUUUGUUGCUGCAUUAGUCCAAGAAUAAUUUAAUUCUGUACUAACAGCAAUUUAGAAAGCACGAAAAUGAAGCUAGAACAUUUCUAAACUAAUUGUUUGCUACACACGUUGAUUAACAGUGCUCUGCAGGAAUUAAUUGAUCCAAGGGCAGGAUCUGGCACUACGGCAGCAACGCUCUUCUUGCAGUGCUCAUAUGAGGUGACUGCACUCACAGCUCCUCAGACUGUGCUACGAAUUGUUUUUCAAACACAUCAUCUGUCCUUGCAGAGAGCCGCUGGAGAUCCUCAGACCAGGCCUGAGCACAGCUAGGUAUUGGCUGUUUCAAUUACAGCUCAAAUACAUCACGCAGAUGGAGGAGUGCACUGGGCAUGCAUUUGGCAUCCCAGGGCAGAUGGCUUUUCCCAAAAUGAGAGCCUGUGGAAAGCUGUUUUCAUCUUCCCAAGCUUCUGGCCUGAUGGACUUCAGCACAAAUGCGUUUCCAAAUAAUGAAUCUGCAGUUCACUUUCUGGCCGAGGUGAACGAGCACACGUUAACUCAUUCAGAAAGGAGAUGAAAAGCUCACAUUCAGGAUGCAUUAAUCUGAAAACAAGUGUACUUUUGUGUCUGGGGAGUAUUAUUUUCAUUGCCAUCAAUUUAGAACAUAGAUAGACUGUGAUUCUAGCUUCACUAUCAGGUUGCCCCACAGGCUGAGACCCCUCACCAGGCCAUUCUAUUUAAUUUAGACUAAUCUAAAGCUGAGUGAAACUUUGUACCCUCUCUGAUUUCUCCCUAUAAUCAGGAACACUCUGAUUUCCCCUUCCCCCAUGACCCAGUCUGAGUGGCUGGGAGAUGGGGGAGAGGUACUCAGGAAAGCGACCUCCAGGUAAAGGCAGCAGCUAUUUGUGCCAGCCUGUCUGCUUGCCUAAUAACAGGUGGCAAACAUGUCCAACCAUAUCAUCCCUAGCUCUUGUUCUGUUUGAAUUUCUCUUUACUUUACACACAAUUCUUGGGAAGGCGUAAUCCUUUACACUUUUGCAUGUGAGUUUUUCAAGGCAUUGCACAUGUCAGCGGAGAUAAAUCUCCCAUGGAAGAGGCUGAAAUCCUAAUGCUGUUCUUCCACCAUUAUGCUCCUAGGUUUGGGUGGAAUUUGAUGGGGCAGAGGUUGUGCCCUAUAGUUUUAAUGUUGGGGUGUUUUUGGUCAGUGUUGUUUUGUCUGUGUUUAGAGGCAUCAAUAUGCACAAGAGAAUCUGUUUUGGACAGUAUCCAAGGUCAAAAAGAAUUCAGCAGCUUUGGCAAAAUGUUCCCUUCUGUCUGUGGUUUACAGAUUCAUCCAUAUGUGAGAUCUUAAAGAAGUAUCUUUCACUCUCUGUUGCUAUCAUCUCUGAUAAUUAGACUUGGCUUUGCUGCUUUCUCUCUCUCCCCGUCUUUCUUUUGUUUUAAACACCACAUGACUGCUUUCAGUGGAUAAGGCAAGUGGAGAAGAAAAGGAUCCAGUAGUGGCCCUCAACUGGCAGGCACUCAGCAAGCAAAUCAGCAGGUUCCCCUGCUAAAGAACCAUGCUGACAUCUAGUUAAUGUUCUUAUUUGCUAAAGUAAUGAGACUCAACCUGCCUGUGACUCUCAAUCUUUUACAAACCAAAAUUUGUAGUCUUUGCUCAUAGGCAAGAAAAAAAAAUGAUCUGCAGUAGCCCCAAGUUUAAAUCAGCAAAUUUGUUUCGUAAACAGCAGAAGUACCCGGGGUGCAGUUCUCCGGGGGGAGCUCAGGUGCGAUGGGCUCUUCCAGUCCUCUCCUCUUCUGGCAGUUGUUAAGUUUGUCGCAUACCUAAAUAUGCCAAGUGUAACCCACAGCAGGAGGGGGUUGUCAGAGGACAAAUAUAAUUUUUAUUCUCCUCUCUGAUGUAACUGUGGGUCAGUCAUCUCGUGGUCCUCACAGAUGAUUGGUUCACUGGUAUUAUUUAUCUCAUUUUGGUCCAACAACAGAGACCAUAGACACUCAUAACUUCCCCUUGAAGCAACCAUUCUACUAAUUAAAAUGAAAAGCGCCUGAUUCUGUUUCUCCUAAAAAUAUAAUUCUUUUUCUGAUUAGAGAUGCAAUUUAAAAAAAAAAAAAAAAAAGGCAAAAAUGGGUAUCUUAUUUUUGUCUGUUGGCUCACAAAACCUGCAUGAACACGAGUUUUAUGUGUGUGAAACUGCCAAAUUGGAGCCAGGGUAGAAACUCUCAAGGGUCUGAAUGUUGAGCAAAAGAGAUAGAUGAAACAGCUGAGUUACUGAACUGAGAAACAUAUGUGCUGUACUUACACAUUUACCAGCGCUCUAAAGAUUUUCUGAUAUGUGGCUGCUCUCUUGAAAAUUAUUUACAUGGCAUUCUGGAGUUGUUCCCACAGAUAUGAUUCCAUUUUGAUCUGCCAAUUACAUUAUGUGCUGUUGCAAAGAAGUUUGUAAAUGAGUCUUUGUUCCUUAGAUGGAAAGCGUUUUGAAGGAGUUCUACCAGCCUGAUGGUAAAUCAUGAACGUCAAAAAUGAGGCUGUCUAAAAAUACAUUAGAGGUUGAUGUAAACAUUGCUGGUAUCAGAGGAGAUGGUUCCCAUCAACUUUUGGGAAUGCUGAAUCUGAUGUCCCUUUACAUACACCAAGUUGCUCAGGACAGACCUCCUCCUUCAUGAUGCCCAUGGAAAUCACUGCAGAUUUGACAGCUCUGGCUCCUGGUAACUCCUGUGGGCUCCUCGAGUCCAUAGCAAGGACAGCUGCCCAAAGCCAAGGUUCACCCUCAUGGGAGGUGGGUACAGAAAAAAAGUCUGCUGUUCAGCUGGACCAGGAAGAGAAGUGGAGAAGUUUUCAGUGGCAUUUUCAGAGGUGUUUCACAGCCAGGAGUGUUACAGGAGUGGAAGACCUUGUGCUUUUGAUAAGUCUGUGCCACAGUGGGAUUCUGGCAUCCCUUAGAUGAGUCUGAAGAAAACUGGGCUGGGCAUUUCCAGAACCCAUUCCUUAUAAUGGAACAAGCUUCGAAGGACAUUGCUAACCUCCAUUAGAAGUGUUUAAUUCGUUCCCCCAUUACCUUCCAAAAAGAAUACUACAUAUGGAAGAUGAUGUUCCACUUUCUAAAAGGUGCUUGGUUGGGUGUCAUUGUUUAUAUAAAAACUGUUACACCUGGAAAGGAAGGUAUCUGUACUUUGAAUCUUAUGCAUUCCCUUUGUCUUGAUGGUCCUUCCAGAGGCAAGCUCUAUAUGGAGUGGGAGUGUCGAUAACCUCAUCCUGCAACUUUCCAUGCCUCUCAGACACACUGGGCUUCUCCUGCCUCCCUGCAGGUCAAGACCAUGAAUUUUACUUGAUACUCUCUUUGAGAGGAGUUAAGAAAAGAGAAAUCUGAUGGACUUGGAGAAACUUAUCUAUAAUAAUAUUCAGAUUAGGAGUUUUAUAAGGACUAAUGGCUUUUUGCCUAGAAAUAAAUAGCUGAUGUAGUCCAAACAGGACUUUUCCCUAGGAAAAAAAGAACAGGAGCAAAUGGAUGCGGAGGAGAUGGUAAAGAAAAAAAAAAAAGAAAUCCAAUUCUUUUUGAUUUUUUUUCAGAGUCAGGUUGUACAACUUUGGGUUUUCUUCAUAGAGGAGAGGGAGAAAGUAAAAAAACAACACAAAAAAAUGGUGCUACCUGAAAUGAUCAUGAUAGCAAUUAUGCAAUUUUAACGUUAUGCAUCUAUCAACACUAAGGACAUGUCUUUCAGGAGAAAGGACUUGAUUAGGUAUAUUUUGAAUAUAAUUUGUGUUAUAUGAAAAUGUUCAGCUGUACUAAGUUCCAUAUUGACAUAUCCUCUUAAAAAUAUUUUGGUUAUUAUGCAGCAUAGUUUACACCUAGACUAAGUGACUUAUACUUCCACAGUCACUUUCUGAAUUUUCAUACUAAAGAAUACAUGUCUGAGCAGCUUCUCUGUGAACUAAUGAGGAGCUAGAGGUGUCUGAUAAUGGUAGCAAAAGCAGCUAUGUGAGGAAAGAGGUGGUUAAAAGAAAACACAGAGGUGAGAGCUUCCACAGUUGUAGUGCAAACAGUAGACUGAAGGCCCAACAGAACAGAAAAGGUGGAAAUGAUCUUUGGUGACAAAUUCUAACUUGUAAAAGUGCCAGAUUGCCACAUAAGCCAAAGUGAAUUUAGGGCAACAAUAGCUCCACUAGGUUUGGUGUCAGACCAGCCUGUGUGAGGGAGAAGAGUGCUGGAAUCCUGGCAUCUCCCAGAGGUGUUAGAAAAGGGAAACAAUUUGUAUAAAUACAGGAAUUCAACACCAGAAACAAAAUACUGAACUAAUCAGUGAAAUGAGCAUUGAAAUCAGUCUUCAUGCUAAAGCUGGAAGGUUCUGACAUAUCAAAUAGAGCAAGAAUAUCUUCAGGAAUAUGCCAGAAGCUAAUUGGUUUAAGAAAUCUGGCUGUAUAUAGAGACCAUUACUCAUAGAUAUCACGUUUUUCUGUUGCACAAAUUAUCUACAGUGCUCGUGGUGUCUGCUCAAGGAAAAGUUUAUUUUCCUUCAGUCUUUUCUUUUCCCCUGACCUCAAAGGACUAAUUAACAAAGUAUUAGCAUGUUUCUAAAAUAUGACUGAAUUCAUCCUCUUAAGAAAAUGUACUGAAGAAUGUACCCUAUUAUUAGAAAUGACAGGAUGUAUAUAGGGCCAUAUGUUUUCAAAGGGUUUUCUGUCAGUGUUAAUCAAAACUUUGGAGAACUUAUGAACAUACAGAGCAGCACGUCAACCAUAUGGAUAAUAUCUUCUCUUUAAUAGUGAGAAUUUGAAUUAAUAAUAAACAUUGGAGAGUAACCUAGAAUGAGACAGAAACAAUAAUAUUAAGACCAGAACAAGCAGAAUAUCAUAUCAGUCUGAAGACUCCUGAGUAUUUAAAAAAAUCUUAUUGUGCAUUAAAUACUGAUCAUGGAACUACAUUCAUUAAUUUUUGGUAAUUUAGCAUGGAAAGGUAACUCCAAAAAUGCCAUUUAGAUUUGCUGUUUUUUUGUAAAGGACAGAAUUUGCCUCUUACAGCACGCUCUAGUAAACAUCAGUGUCGCACGCUGGUCUGAGUGGUAGAGGUACGUCCAUUGUUGCAGUCUACUUGUUACUGUAAAGGCAUUAGAAUAUUUGUUUGAUGAAACAUGCAUGCACAAAUCAUUUCACGGACUGUGCAAGCAGAUGCAGGAAGAAAGUGGAACCUGUUCCUGAGUUGGCUAACCUGAAAAAUGAUUGAGACUCCAUUAUUUUGAAUAACCCUCCAAGGACUUAACAUCAUGGACCUACCUGUUUUUACAGAUGGCGACUCUCUAAACUAAAUAUUAGGUUUUAUUUUCGCUGUUACCAGCCUGGCUUUAUUUUCUCCUUAGUUAAAAACAAAGUUACAUUUAGAAGUUUGACUGCUCACAUUGAGACCUACAGCCUUCAUCUGCUGGUAAGCACAAUCCAGCCUUUGCAAGGUGAAAAACCAAAUCUUCUACCAGAGACCACAAGAAGAGGAAAUACAACAUUCAGUCUUUGAAGCUAUAAGUUGAGACCUCCCUAUUAUGUAGUGAUAGAUUUUAUUGGUAACUAUCCAUCUGCAUCAGUUACCCAGCCUAGGAGAGAUAUAUUUUCCUUGAAAUUUCUAUUUUAUUUUUCCCUUGAGUCCAUUCUGAUUUUCAGAUUUCCUCUUCUGAUGCUGGUUGAGAAGUGUGUAACUAUGGACAGCACCUUCGGACUGUGAAGUGGUUCUUGCACCUGCUCUUUUCUUUGUUUUUGGAGUAGCCACGGGGGACCAAGGAGCAGAGCUCUUCCCUCCGUUCCCUCUGUGUUAUUCCAUCAUCUCCUGUAAUUUUGCUGUCAGCAUUUGUUCUGCCACACAACAGCCUGUGACUGUCCUGCAGACCUCAGGGGAGCAUCCCUGGUACCCACAGCUUUUUUCCCGUCUGCUGGCAAAUUAUAGCAUGGUGCUUGCUCUGAAAAGUUAUAUGACUGGGAUUAUACAUUUACAGUUCCCCAAGCUGUACACCGUGUGAUUAAUAGAAUUAUUUACUUAUUUAUUAUGAUGAAAUGCACUGCAAUAUGUUUGCAAGACGGACCAGAUCCAAAACCCACUGAAGACGCCCAUGAGCCCUGAGGAAUCACAUUGCCUUGCAGCCACUGUACAGCCAUGAAAACCAGCUGAAAACAAAACCGAGCCUCUUCGGAGAAAGCCCCACAAGUGACCUCUUCAGCAAAGUGGACAAAGAUUUACAUUGGCUUCUCUUCUCCCCGGCUAUCACUUACACUACAUGCACACUGUUGUUCCUCCUGCCUGUGCCAUUGUACUUCCCUUCUAACCUGUUUUCAACCUGCAAAGGCUUUUGCAAGGAAGUCAGCACGCAGCAAUGGUGUGAGCUUACAGCACGUUGGCUGCUUUGUGCUAAUUUCCCAUUAGUGCACAUAGGCGGUAGUUUCGAAGAUAGGUGCGGUGCCUUGUAUGUCAGUGGGUGUUCUAAGGUCUGCAGCUGGGCAGAUGGAUCAGUACUGCCUGACAUAUCAGCUUAUAGUGCAAGGAGACCGUUACUUCAAAUGAAUUUGCUAUGGGACCGUAAAAAGCCUCUGUUAUGAAUAGUCUUCUACAGACAGGAUGAUGUAACAUCCAGUAUAAGGCACCAUAACUGUGUUGUUUACAUUUUUGGUGUGCUGUCCCAUAUAUAAAUCCCCAGUGCUCCAAAAAACAAUGCAUUAAAAGUUAAGGAUGAAUCCAAUCAAUAACCUACUGCGUUAUUCAUGGGUUCAGCGAUGCAGAGUUAAUCCUUUGGGACAAUGACAUUAGGACAUUUGAACAAAACGUACAGCACCCUGCCUAACACCCAGUCUGCACGGAGGAUAAAACCCACUGCUACAACCUUCAUCUUCUCCCUCCAGGGAUAGAGACGUUCCUGCUCAGCACUGGAACUUCUGGAGAUGAUAAACACAAGCAACUCAUCCCCAGCUCCAUCCUGAGCACCUUCAGCAUUGCCACUCAGCACCUCAAAAUUGUGUGCGUCCAAUGCCAACUGCCCACCAUGGCAAAGGAACAAGACAUUUGCUCCAAGUUUCAGUGUUAAUAAAGAAGGUGAAUCUUUCACACCAGUGGUUGCAGAUGUCAUGCACUUGCCUCCUGCUAUUUGGAUCCACUGUGCUGCAGAGAGUGAACCAGGCAAACCCACCUGUAGAGGAGGGCAGGGAAAGUGAAAUCCCGAGCACCAAGCAGAGUCUUGCUGGAGACCACCGAGGAGACACAGCAUCAGCAAUUGCUGACAAAGCCCAUUGCACCAUCAGAACCAAGCCAAGGAUGAAAGAACGUGACACCAAUCUGUAUUUCCAGCAACCUUUGUUGGAAAGGUGGUCUGCGCUCAUGAAUACUGUUGUUAUACCUACAGCCCCCAAAGAGCAACCUACUUGAGCUGUGACAGAGCUGCUCAUAUAACCAAGGGUAUAUGGUUAUGUAGCCUGUCUGGGGAUGUAAGCACAUUUACCUGUAGACUAAAGGAGAUGACCGAAUCCUUGUAAAUGAGCACAAAACAUCGCGAUGCCUAUGCCUUCAAACACCAAAGGAUGAGCAUGAACAGUGUCUCUAGAGCCACUCCAGACUCUAGACACUCAGCACUAGGUGUCCUGUGCUGAGAUACGACUACUGCUACUGACCACAGCUCACGUGCACGUGUCACAGGACCAGUCAAGGUCGUAAACUUAAGCAUAUUUAUAUCUCUUGGUAGGAACAGAGCUGUAAUUAUAUUUUGGGUGUUUCUUGCCUUCUUCAAUUGCUGCCAGUGCUGCUUGUUUGCUACAGCGUAACCCGUGGCAUAUUUUAUAGGUUUUCAACCUUUGCACACAAUGGAUUAGAAAGAAAGUCAAUUAUGCAUAAGAUUGAAAGAGUUAUGUAAAUAUAAAACCAAUAUAAUGUAUUAUUUACAUACAGCCUGUACUUACCCUAAGUAACUUCUGCAGAAACCUGGGCUAUCACAAACAGCUCACACCUAAUUUCUGAGCCCUAUUCCAGAAAAGAGGGGAGGAUUCUGGCUACCUUAAAUCAGUGCUAAUAUUUUCUAGAUGAGAGCAUAUUUGUAUAAGAACAUAACUCAACAUAACACGGAUGGACAACAAGCAGGAUAAAUCUCUAUCAUUUAUUACAUUUGCUGAGCGAUCAAAGGUGUCUAACUAGACAUUUUUCCUCAUUGGUUGUUUGCAUUAGAUAUGCAAAUCUCCUUUCUUGCAGAGCCAUUUCUGAAUAUAUUUGCGAGGCUAUUGAUGUCCAUUACUUCACUUAAAUAUAGAUCAGAAAUACUGACAAAUAUUUUCAUUCAAAGAGUUUGAUCAUUUUCAGAUUACUCUCCAUGCUAGUAAUUAACCUCAGUCAACACCCUUCCAUAGCACUUUCAAACACAGUUCCUAGCAAACAUAAAGUUUCAUAAAUAUGUACUAAAUAACCUUAAAGCCCUUUAUGAAUAAUUAUGAGUUUUUAAGUUUUUGUGAAUCUGCAUAUUAAUUCCACGCCAUAAAUAAUACAUGAAGCAAAAAUCCAGCUUGUUUGGUGUCUGGGGACAGAGAAAGAAAAGGAGGGGAUAAUUAUCAGUUUAAUGUGGGAAAAUACUUAACCUAAAAGAUUAUCUUCAAAACUGAUGACUCUAUAGGUUUGUAUAUACGUGUGUGUAUAAAUACAUAUAAGUAUAUAAAAUAUACGUGUAUGAAGAUAGGUUUGUCUGCAGAUACGCAUCCAGCCUGAGAAAGCCUUAAUUUGAGGCAUGUUACAUUCCUGUCUCCUCUGUGCCAUGCUGAGCUCUUCAAGUGCAAAGUGAUGCGAUGAGCUCAGCCUCCACACAACCCUUCUUUCUAUAAACGUAUGUUCCCCCAAAGGUAGAAAAUUAAUGAGAGGCUGCUGACUAAAAUUACUACAUUUUGCCUUCUGUGGGACAUUAUGGAUUUAAAAGAUAAGCAAGAGUGCAGCAAGUCCAAAAACAAUUUCAUUUCGUUAAUCCUUUAAGUGCCUCGGGAUGAGCAGCCCAUGUCCAGCAAAGGUGAUGCUUCUGCAUGCCUAUUGCACAGCAGUACUUGCACACUCUGCUUCUCGGCUCCACAUGGAAGGCAUCCAGUGGGGUGGGAUGAUGUAUGGCUGAAUGGUCUUAGGCUGACACUUCCUGGAUGCUCGCUGACAGUAAUAGGAAACGUAAGCGGUGUGCAGAGACAGCUCGUAGGUAAAGCAGGGAGUGUGAAUAGGAUUUUUCCUCUUUAUUCCGUACAGCUUACAGCAAAGAAAAGGCAUUUUCUGCUCAAAUGUCUUUGAACAAAACAAAGUGGAAACUAUUAUGUUUCAAAACCAGGACCCGGGAACAUAUUCCAUGUUUGCCUUUGUCAAAGGAGUACAACGAUUUAUAGUUUGGGAAGAAAAUCAUUGCAUUCCAAUUUUAUAUUUUUCAAUAAGUGACUCCAUUUAUUUUUUACAUAUUAAUCCACCUCCAUAAUGAAAAUAGAUUUCACUUCUCAUUUCAAGUCCUUCAGAUCUAUUUCACUUCCCGGUCAUGCUCAGCGCUUGGCUAGGAGAAUGAAAGGCAGUAUUUCAAAUAAUAGCAACUCAAUAGCAAGCCUGUUCUCUUGGUUUUAAUGCAGAAAGAAGAAAAGAUAAACCAAAUUUGUACAAGAAUCUUCAGAGAUAGGAGCACUCCCUUGUUCUGACGCCAUUUCCCAGCCCUGCAGCAUCAGGAGAGCAGUGCUGUUGGUGCGGGGGUGCUGCCGGGAGCAGGGUGAGGGGCUGGGGAUAGGAUCCCACAGAAGCGACUGAAUCCAAAGCUCAACUUAAGACUGCUCAGAAAGAUUCCAGGAGGGGGUGAGGGGCUGCUGGAGGUGCCGGCAGCACUGUCUCGUCACGGCAGCCUGCUAAUUAACCGUGAUGGGUUUUAAAGCCUCAGCUGGAAGCAGCUUCUGGAGAAACGGAUGGAGCACCCAGGUUUGUUUUGUAUCCAAAAAGGGGGACACAGAGUUGAAAAGAAUUGUUGUAAAGGCCUGCAUCAGUGUUAUUCUGCAUCCGUCUGCUUUGCGUACCGUUUGCUAGGAAUUUAUAAAGUAACAUACAUUCAGUAUGAAGGAAAAAAAAAAAACAAACAACAGAUCUUUAAAAUAUUGAACUGUGGCUGCUGUGCCUCGUGGAAAGGUACAGGCUUCUCGUCCGGGAGUUGCAUUGUGUGGAUGCAAACCUGUUGAUGAGUGGUUUAAGCUAAUUCUCAUUUAUACUGGACUCAUAAAUCCAUAAACUUUGGUAAGAACUCAGCUGCAGCCGAUGUUAUUGGUUGAACUGUUUUCAUCUGAAGCCCAUUCUGAAUCCCCAACAAAAAUAGUAGGCCAGAUGCCCAGACAGCAGCUAGAGACCCUCAUUAGGCAUCAUUUGCAUCCUAUUAACCACUGAGCUGUGGGUCAUUCGCUGCCUGUCAACCAUUCAAGUCAUUCCUUUUGUGUUAAUUAGUAGAGAAAUAAGGAGUUAAUGAAGAUCUUAUGAUCUGUGAUGAUUCAUCUUUGUUGUUUCAAACGAAUCCCUGCUCUCCGAGCACCCCAAUGAGCUCCUGCACACCGAAUAAUAGAGGAAUAGUGGAGGGAGCUUAGGGCGGCCUUUGGAGUGCCAUUCUCUGGGGACCUUUUGCAUGGUGGGCUUUGUUAGCUAAAGAUUAGAAGGAGUUAAUUGCUUCAAGAUUGCUCGCAGAUUAGGUUACAUGGUGUGUUGUAUCUAUGUAAGCAUAUGUCAGGUCUAGUUAAAAGAUAGAAGAUGCUUAUUUUAAUAAAAUUAUGAAAGGAAGAAUUAA
Long non-coding RNA from Gallus gallus (chicken), 16923 nucleotides. RefSeq lists it as uncharacterized. NCBI's taxonomy places the organism in Eukaryota, Metazoa, Chordata, Aves, Galliformes, Phasianidae. The record is from RefSeq and is a predicted model, not a curated record. The transcript is spliced from 8 exons.